UACGGAGGGUGCGAGCGUUGUCCGGAAUCACUGGGCGUAAAGGGUGCGUAGGCGGGUCUUUAAGUCAGGGGUGAAAUCCUGGAGCUCAACUCCAGAACUGCCUUUGAUACUGAGGAUCUUGAGUUCGGGAGAGGUGAGUGGAACUGCGAGUGUAGAGGUGAAAUUCGUAGAUAUUCGCAAGAACACCAGUGGCGAAGGCGGCCUGCUGGGCAGUAGCUGACGCUGAGGCGCGACAGCGUGGGGAGCAAACAGG
This 253-nucleotide ribosomal RNA is filed under the name uncultured bacterium. RNAcentral's name for it is "partial 16S ribosomal RNA". It matches the Rfam family "Bacterial small subunit ribosomal RNA", at positions 524 to 776 of the family's 1533-position model. The record is from RNAcentral.